Molecule: long non-coding RNA, 3154 nt
Filed under: Homo sapiens (human)
Lineage: Eukaryota; Metazoa; Chordata; Mammalia; Primates; Hominidae
Description: HSALNT0289628
Source: RNAcentral
GGCUGCUGGUUCUUCCAGGAGCGCGCAUGAGCGGACGCUGCCUACUGGUGGCCGGGCGGGAUGUAACCGGCUGCUGAGCUGGCAGUUCUGUGUCGCUAGGCUUCUGCCCGGCCGCCGCCGCACAUAAGCCACGAGGAGGAGCUUUACGACUUCCCGGUCUUCGGCGCCGGGCGCAGCAAGGGCCAGACUCUGCGCUAGCAGGCGCUGCGCGCCAACCGGCCGGCACCUGUCGCAGAAGGUGCAACCGAUCGCACUGUCGCGCAGAAGCUCCUCAAUGGCCAGCGCCAGCUGCAGCCCCGGCCGCCCACUCGCCUCAUCUGAGCCUGGGCAAAUCUGGAUUGGGAAAGUUGACAUUAAUCAACUCAUUAUUCCUCACAGAUUUGUAUUCUCCAGAGUAUCCAGGUCCUUCUCAGAGAAUUAAAAAGCCUGUACAGGUCUAGAUAUUGGUAUUUUUAAUUGAUGAUAAGCUGGAAUAAUAUUAAUACACACAAAGCACGUGUUGUAACUUUCAUUAUGCUUCCUUAGAGGUAAGAUGCAAAUUUGCCCUUAGCCAGUGUAAGAUGGUAAAUAUGACUUCAUAAAAUCAAAAAAACAGAAGAAGUACAGUUAAUCGAAAGAUUAUCUUGACUAGAACUUUCCAAAUUUGUCCUAAGGAUUCUCCUAGAGAUGACACUGUGACAUAGUAACCAAUUCCCCUGGAGUUGUGCUAUGUAGUAUGAUAGUCAUUUGCCACAUGUUUAAAUCAAUUAAAAUUAAUUAAAUUAAAAUGCAAUUUCUCAUUUGCUCCAGAUACAUUUCAAGUGCUCAACAGCCACAUGUGGCAAGUGGCUGCCAUUUUGUGCAGCACAUAUAUGAAGAUUUUCAUCAUUGUAGAAAAUUGCAUUGGACAGUGUAGAGAAAACAUGAUUCAUAGAAAAACUAUUGUUAUUUAAAUACAGUGUUCUAUAUUAGUCAGUGGGAUAAUACCAUAUCAUAGUUGAAUGGCAAUAGCAAUUCUGUAAGACUCCCAAGCUAUAUGUGAUCUAAUUUACUGCUUCUCAGUCUUUGCUAUGCAUUCCAAUCCUGGGUAUCCUGUUAAAUUUAUUUCUUCUAGUAGUUCUGAGAUGGGCUGCCUUUCUACAUUUCUAACAAGAUCCCAGGUGAUGCUGAUGCUGCUGGAUGGUAGAUCACACUUUAUAAAGCAAGGGGCUAGACUCUAGAUAUGCACUUUUUAUUAAAUAGUACAGCAGCCUGUAGCCACAUGUGGCUAUUAAUCUUUGAAAUGUGGGUAGUCUGAAUUGUGAUGUUCUGCAAACAUAAAAUAUGCCACAGAUUUCUAAGACUGAGCAUGGAAAAGAAAAUCUCCAUAAUUUUUUAUAUUGAUUGUAUACUGCAGUGAUAAUAUUUUGGAUGUAUCAGGUUAAAUAAAAUUGACUGAUUUCACCUUUUUCCUAUUUUAAAAGUGGCUACUAAGAAAAUUUUAAAUUACUUACAUGACCGACAUGGUAUUUUUAUUUGGCAGCGCUGCUCUAAGCUGUUGAUGAAAAAUAUUGUUGGUGAGCUCUGCUUAGGUAAUAUAUAGGACAUGAGCAGAGAGGAGGCACGUGAACAGUUCUGGCCUGGAGUAGGCUUCAUUGAGGCUGUGAUGCUUUUAGCUGGAUUUGAAGAAGUGGUAGUGAUCAUCCCAGUGCACAGGAUAGGUGGACAGUCUAUGUAUUCUGAGCAGUAACUCAUAUAUCUCAUACUGCAAGACCCCAAAGGAGUAAUUUUGUGAAGUAAAUAUCUUAUUUCUCCUUUUUAAUGUUUCUAUUUUAGGAAUUUUUUUUUUUUUUAGUAACCUUCAUAGGGCUUGAGAUUUAAAAUUACCUGCAAAAUUCUACUCUAAAAACUUGAUCCUACAUGCUUAUUUUGUGAUAAAUAUUGGAAAUUUUAAACCUAAGCAAGAAAAUGAACUUUGAACUUUCUUAAUUUGGGUAUCUAUUAUGAAUACCUUCACUUAAGUAUUUAUGAAUUUAGAUAUGAAAGGUAAAACUAACCACUAUCCAAAUUAAUAUACAGUUCAUUUCCAGAACCCUAGUUUCUUCCAUGUGCUCACUUGCAUUCAGUAUUACAACCCCCAAAGAUAAACACCUUACUGACUGCCUUCUCCAUAAAUUUGCCUGUUCUUGAAUGUUAUAUACGUAUACUUUUUUGUAUCUGUUUUCUUUCAGUGAAGAUUAUGUCUGUAUUAUUUACUCAUGUUGGGUGUAGUUGUUUUUUUCAUCGUCGUAUAAUACUCCAUUGUGUGAAUGUAUCAGUAUAUCCUUUAUUAUUUAUUUAAACUGACUUAAAUGUUUUUUGACACUUUGGUUAUAUUUAAGAAGUUGACUUCUCUAAUUUCCUUGUCAUGUUUAUUUUUAAAUAUCUUUCUCUUUAAAAGUUGGGAUACUAUAAUAAAUAUUCAGCAAGUAUUUUGUGUUUAAAUAUAAAAUCUUGUUAUUUGGAUUUUAAUACUUUAUAUAUAGUAUUUAUAUAUAUAAACAUAAACAAAACUAAAGACUCUAUGAAAGAAUCAAAUGGAUUUUCUAUAACUGAAAAUUUCAAUGACUAAAAUUAAGAUAUUACCAGAUAGGUUUAACAGCAAAUUCCAUAAAGUUGGUAAGAAAACAAGAAUACUCAAAAAAUGGAAAGAAGUAGAAAAUAAAAACACUGAGAAGCAUAGAAUGCAAAUUUAGAAAAGAGCUUAAGAGACAUAUCAGACAUGGUAAAAGGUUUAACACACAUAUAAUCAAACUUUCCUAGCUCUGUUCACGGAAAGGGCCUGGGAGCUGCAACACCUCAACAGCAACAAGCACACCUGCUACCUAGAACUUGGUUUCUAAAAACCAUCCUCCUCUAAAAGGAAACAGAGCUCUUUGAAGAAACGGGUCUCCCUAUGUUGCCCAGGCUGGCCUCAAACUCCUGGGCUCAAGUUAUCCUCCUGCCUCGGCCUCCCAAAAUGCUGGGAUUGCAGGCAUGAGUGACCGCACCUGGCCACCUUUCCACAUUUAAGAGAUCCCUGGGAUACUGCGAAGCAGGAGUCCAUCUCCAGACAUGAGGAGCAGGUGGGCUAAAGGAAACAGGACUGGGGAGUCUUGGAGGGGCAGAGCAAUGCCCAGGGACACAGAAACUUUUGAAUAAAGACAAGAGAGACCGA